Molecule: ribosomal RNA, 460 nt
Filed under: uncultured bacterium
Lineage: Bacteria
Description: partial 16S ribosomal RNA
Rfam family: Bacterial small subunit ribosomal RNA
Source: RNAcentral
CCUACGGGCGGCAGCAGUGAGGAAUAUUGGUCAAUGGACGAGAGUCUGAACCAGCCAAGUAGCGUGAAGGAUGACUGCCCUAUGGGUUGUAAACUUCUUUUAUAUGGGAAUAAAAUGUUCCACGUGUGGGAUUUUGUAUGUACCAUAUGAAUAAGGAUCGGCUAACUCCGUGCCAGCAGCCGCGGUAAUACGGAGGAUCCGAGCGUUAUCCGGAUUUAUUGGGUUUAAAGGGAGCGUAGGUGGAUUGUUAAGUCAGUUGUGAAAGUUUGCGGCUCAACCGUAAAAUUGCAGUUGAAACUGGCAGUCUUGAGUACAGUAGAGGUGGGCGGAAUGUGUGGUGUAGCGGUGAAAUGCUUAGAUAUCACGAAGAACUCCGAUUGCGAAGGCAGUUCACUGGACUGCAACUGACACUGAGGCUCGAAAGUGUGGGUAUCAAACAGGAUUAGAUACCCGGGUAGUC